CGGCGGACGGGUGAGUAACGCGUGGGUAAUCUACCCUCGAGUGGGGAAUAACACCGGGAAACUGGUGCUAAUACCGCAUGACAUCCUCGGGCCUUCGGGUCUGGGGAUCAAAGCCGGGGACCGCAAGGCCUGGCGCUUGGGGAGGAGCCCGCGUCCGAUUAGCUUGUUGGCGGGGUAACGGCCCACCAAGGCUUCGAUCGGUAGCCGGCCUGAGAGGGCGGACGGCCACACUGGGACUGAGACACGGCCCAG
This 252-nucleotide ribosomal RNA is filed under the name uncultured bacterium. RNAcentral's name for it is "partial 16S ribosomal RNA". It matches the Rfam family "Bacterial small subunit ribosomal RNA", at positions 96 to 334 of the family's 1533-position model. The record is from RNAcentral.